Molecule: unclassified non-coding RNA, 231 nt
Filed under: Hevea brasiliensis (rubber tree)
Lineage: Eukaryota; Viridiplantae; Streptophyta; Magnoliopsida; Malpighiales; Euphorbiaceae
Source: RNAcentral
GUUUCCUUAGCUGCAUCAUCAGAGAGUUCAUCUGCAGUAAUGAGGUCUCGAUUGAUUUCACAGAUGGUAACUUCACCUGGUUGAGGAAUUGACGGCAUGUUUUUCAAGCAACAGAGAGAGAGACAGGGUUUAUGGUUUCUAUUUUGGGUUGAUUUCUGUCAGCUCUUCACCUUCUCUAAACAUGCCUUGCAAAAGGGACAACUUCAAUAAGAAAACCAGCCAGCAAUCAAG